UGCGUAGGCGGUCUGAUAAGUCAGUUGUGAAAGCCCGGGGCUCAACCCCGGAAGUGCAAUUGAAACUGUCAGGCUUGAGUAUGGUAGAGGGAAGUGGAAUUCCUGGUGUAGCGGUGAAAUGCGUAGAUAUCAGGAGGAACACCGGUGGCGAAGGCGGCUUCCUGGACCAAUACUGACGCUGAGGCGCGAAGGUGUGGGUAGCAAACAGGAUUAGAUACCCUGGUAGUCC
This 229-nucleotide ribosomal RNA is filed under the name uncultured bacterium. RNAcentral describes it as "partial 16S ribosomal RNA". It matches the Rfam family "Bacterial small subunit ribosomal RNA", at positions 568 to 796 of the family's 1533-position model. The record is from RNAcentral.